GAUGAACGCUAGCGGCAGGCCUAACACAUGCAAGUCGAGGGGUAGAGUUCUUCGGGACUUGAGACCGGCGCACGGGUGCGUAACGCGUAUGCAAUCUACCUUAUACAGGGGAAUAGCCCAGAGAAAUUUGGAUUAAUGCCCCAUAGUGUUAUCGAAUCGCAUGGUUUGAUAACUAAAGUUCCAACGGUAUAAGAUGAGCAUGCGUCCAUUAGUUAGUUGGUAAGGUAACGGCUUACCAAGACAAUGAUGGGUAGGGUCCUGAGAGGGAGAUCCCCCANACUGGUACUGAGACACGGACCAGACUCCUACGGGAGCAGCAGUGAGGAAUAUUGGUCAAAUGGGGCGCAAGCCUGAACCAGCCAUGCCGCGUGCAGGAAGACGGUCCUA
This 387-nucleotide ribosomal RNA is filed under the name uncultured bacterium. RNAcentral's name for it is "bacterial SSU rRNA". It matches the Rfam family "Bacterial small subunit ribosomal RNA", at positions 28 to 419 of the family's 1533-position model. The record is from RNAcentral.